Molecule: long non-coding RNA, 611 nt
Organism: Monodelphis domestica (gray short-tailed opossum)
Lineage: Eukaryota; Metazoa; Chordata; Mammalia; Didelphimorphia; Didelphidae
Source: RefSeq, a predicted model, not a curated record
AUAAUAAUAAUAAAGCAACAAUAAUGAGAAAAUAAUAAUAAUAUAAUUAAUAAUAUGAGCAAGCCCUUUUUUAAUGAGAGAAAUUCAAAUCAAUAUUACCUUAAUGUUUUAUGGCAUAUCCUGAUAGAUAUGAUAAAAUCUGCUCAUUCUCAUUUCUCUUUUUUCUCUAUUUUUUUAAUUUUUAAGGUUUGUUAUGUUUCUAAAUUUUUAAAUUAAUACUUAUCCUUUCUCUUUACAGUUUAUUAAACAUUUUUAUGGAUAUCUUCUCUGACAACUGAUGUAACUGCAUUAAAAAAUUUUGGUCCAUGGAAUUCCAGUUCAGGAGCCACAGUGGUGGAGUAGAAGGGAACUUUGAUACCACCAUGAAAAUCUCCUCCAAAGAGUCUUAAAAUAACACUAUAAAACAAAGGCAGGAGAGAAAGAACAAACAAGGAGACAAUGUGAAGCUACUUUUAAGGAGAUAAAAACCUAAAAGUGGUCAUAUUGUACUUUGUUAUGCCGUAGAAUUAAAAAAAAAUAUGGAAUCUCUGAAUUGGAAAGGAAGGAGCCUCAGAAGGUAAUCUAAUCUAAACUCUACUUGAAGAAGAAAUUCUUCUACUAUAACCCCAAAA